Molecule: long non-coding RNA, 381 nt
Organism: Vollenhovia emeryi
Lineage: Eukaryota; Metazoa; Arthropoda; Insecta; Hymenoptera; Formicidae
Exons: 3
Source: RefSeq, a predicted model, not a curated record
GAGAGAGAGAGAGAAAGAGAGAGAACAGCCAUACUGAAAACGUCUUUGUGGAUGCAGACAAAAGAGAACAGAAAUUUUGAAAGGUCGGUAUUAUCAUACAGAUCAUAAGAUUGUGAAAUACGAAGCAGAUGCAUGUACGAUUUAAAAAAUAAGGAGAGUUACCGAAAAUAUCACCAGAGAAGUGAUUAUAUGAAGAAAAUUAUGAUAGAUCGUAUUGUGCUGAAACUAGGAGAAGAGAAAGACUCAUAAUCUUUCUAAAGUCCAACGUAGGUACAAGAACCCAUGUAUGUAAAUGAUCGUUCGUUUCACUCACCUCAAAGCCGCGUACAAACCGCAGCAGUAUUCAACCAGUGUUAGAUACAGAACGUCGAAUACAACGAG